This 720-nucleotide ribosomal RNA is filed under the name Pseudomonas tremae. RNAcentral describes it as "bacterial SSU rRNA". It matches the Rfam family "Bacterial small subunit ribosomal RNA", at positions 1 to 729 of the family's 1533-position model. The record is from RNAcentral. Lineage: Bacteria; Pseudomonadati; Pseudomonadota; Gammaproteobacteria; Pseudomonadales; Pseudomonadaceae.
UAGAGCUGGCUCAGAUUGAACGCUGGCGGCAGGCCUAACACAUGCAAGUCGAGCGGCAGCACGGGUACUUGUACCUGGUGGCGAGCGGCGGACGGGUGAGUAAUGCCUAGGAAUCUGCCUGGUAGUGGGGGAUAACGCUCGGAAACGGACGCUAAUACCGCAUACGUCCUACGGGAGAAAGCAGGGGACCUUCGGGCCUUGCGCUAUCAGAUGAGCCUAGGUCGGAUUAGCUAGUUGGUGAGGUAAUGGCUCACCAAGGCGACGAUCCGUAACUGGUCUGAGAGGAUGAUCAGUCACACUGGAACUGAGACACGGUCCAGACUCCUACGGGAGGCAGCAGUGGGGAAUAUUGGACAAUGGGCGAAAGCCUGAUCCAGCCAUGCCGCGUGUGUGAAGAAGGUCUUCGGAUUGUAAAGCACUUUAAGUUGGGAGGAAGGGCAGUUACCUAAUACGUAAUUGUUUUGACGUUACCGACAGAAUAAGCACCGGCUAACUCUGUGCCAGCAGCCGCGGUAAUACAGAGGGUGCAAGCGUUAAUCGGAAUUACUGGGCGUAAAGCGCGCGUAGGUGGUUCGUUAAGUUGGAUGUGAAAUCCCCGGGCUCAACCUGGGAACUGCAUUCAAAACUGUCGAGCUAGAGUAUGGUAGAGGGUGGUGGAAUUCCUGUGUAGCGGUAAAUGCGUAGAUAUAGGAAGGAACACCAGUGGCGAAGGCGACCACC